This 437-nucleotide ribosomal RNA is filed under the name Bacteroidetes bacterium SCGC AAA041-P17. RNAcentral's name for it is "bacterial SSU rRNA". It matches the Rfam family "Bacterial small subunit ribosomal RNA", at positions 356 to 787 of the family's 1533-position model. The record is from RNAcentral. Lineage: Bacteria; Pseudomonadati; Bacteroidota.
AGGGAAUAUUUGGUCAAUGGACGCAAGUCUGAACCAGCCAUGCCGCGUGCAGGAUGACGGCCCUCUGGGUUGUAAACUGCUUUUAUAUGGGAAGAAACCCCGGGAUGCGUUCCGGGCUGACGGUACCAUAUGAAUAAGGAUCGGCUAACUUCGUGCCAGCAGCCGCGGUAAGACGAAGGAUCCAAGCGUUGUCCGGAUUUACUGGGUUUAAAGGGUGCGUAGGCGGAAAAUUAAGUCAGUGGUGAAAUCCCGCAGCUCAACUGCGGAACUGCCAAUGAAACUGAUUUUCUUGAAUACGGUUGUGAGGUAGAUGGAAUAUAACAUGUAGCGGUGAAAUGCUUAGAUAUGUUAUAGAACACCAAUUGCGAAGGCAGUCUACUAAGCCGUCAUUGACGCUGAGGCACGAAAGCGUGGGGAGCGAACAGGAUUAGAUACCC